Molecule: ribosomal RNA, 114 nt
Organism: Pan troglodytes (chimpanzee)
Lineage: Eukaryota; Metazoa; Chordata; Mammalia; Primates; Hominidae
Source: Ensembl
AGUCCCAUACCACCCUGAAAGUGCUCAAUCUGCUCUGAUUUCGGAAGUUAAGCAGGGUCAGGACUGGUCAGUACUUAGAUGAAAGAAAAGCGAAGCACAAAGAAGGUACAACUU